Molecule: ribosomal RNA, 468 nt
Filed under: uncultured bacterium
Lineage: Bacteria
Description: partial 16S ribosomal RNA
Rfam family: Bacterial small subunit ribosomal RNA
Source: RNAcentral
GGGGGGGGGGGGGGGGGGGGGGGGGGGGGGCGGGGGGGGGGGGGGGGCGGGGGGGGUGGGGGGUGGGCGGGGGGCGGGCGGGUGGGUGACACGGGAGGAGGCCGCCCGUGACGUGGGGAUAGCUUCAGGGAACGGGGGCGAAUACCGGAUAGGAGCUCCUGCUGCAGGGGGGGGGUUGGAGAGAUUCGGCGGUUGGGGAUGGACUCGCGGCUGAUCAGCUUGUUGGUGGGGUAGUGGCUUACCAAGGCUUUGCCGGGUAGCCGGCCUGAGAGGGUGACCGGCCACAUUGGGACUGAGAUACGGCCCAGACUCCUACGGGAGGCAGCAGUGGGGAAUAUUGCACAAUGGGCGGAAGCCUGAUGCAGCAACGCCGCGUGCGGGAUGACGGCCUUCGGGUUGUAAACCGCUUUCGCCCGUGACGAAGCGUGAGUGACGGUAAUGGGUAAAGAAGCACCGGCUAACUACGUG